ACUCUCGCGGAAGCCCAAAAGUUGGGGUCUGACCUCACGACCUUGGCCUUCCCGGGGGCGGGAGGCCCUUGGGACAGGACACGCUGCCCCCAGAGUCCGGAGCUCAGGAAAGCGAAGAAAACUGAAACGUGCCUCAUGGUCUGCAGUUUUAGCGGGGUCGGGAUUCCACAGCCCUGGGUGGCACAUGCCGGACAACUUCCCAAAGUCGGGCUCCCGUGUGGGGAGAAAUACACACGCAGGAAUGCACACGCAUCGCGUGUUCGCAACUGUCUCUGGGAGGUCUGGCGGCUGUGAUGGAACAUGCACUCACUCGGGCAACAUGUCCACAGGUGACAUCUAUUCGGUCAGUCAACAGAUACUUAUUGCGCACCUACGACGCUAUCUGGUACUUUCCUUUUCCCCUUAGCUGUUGCUGUCCAGCCCAGCGCCAGUCCUGAGACUGGCUUACCGGCCGCUCCCUUCCACAAGAAACUCGUGUCCGGCGUGAAGAGCGGACGAUAAACACUUUCCAAGCUCAGCGAAAAGUACUAAUUACAGGAGCGGCUGGGAGCCCGGGACACGGGGACCUGUCCCUCCAGGGACUGGAGUCUUCUACCUGCAAGGGACCCGGCCCGGGGAACUGGAAUGGACAAGGGGUAACCCCUUCUCCCAUCACCUCUAAUGAGAACAUUGCCCGAGGCUGAGAUAUUUGGGGGACCCCGCUGCUCACCCCACCAAACUUUCCCUAAGGACAGAAAAGCGUCCCUACUGAAAACGGAUUUAAACACCGUCCCCACUUUCGCUAAGGAAGUUUGGAUAAGGAGGUUGUGGUCCUUAAUUCGCCAGACACAAGUUCCCUCACUGAGCUGCGCAGAGGUGGAUCCGCACAGGAGGGAAUAUCGCGUAGGAAUUCCUGCAAAUAUAAAUCUCAGCAGCAAAGCAGUCCAGAUUGAGUGGAACACACCACCCCCAGCCACCACCAUCCAAGUUUUCCUUGGUUCUCGGAGUUGGAAACAGUUUCUGGGCUUUUGGCGCCCCCUCUGGAUACAUAUAAAAACUGCAGUCCAUUUUUAAGUCGCAUGUUCAUCGUAAGUUUUCAGGAAGAUGUAAAAUUCAAAAAUGCUCGCAUCAAAUCAACGGGAAAUGUAUAAAUCCCAGUCGUUUAUGAUGUGAAACUCUACAUAUUAGUAUCUUAUUGCAUAAUUGCAUUAAAAGUAUA
Long non-coding RNA from Symphalangus syndactylus (siamang), 1198 nucleotides. RefSeq lists it as uncharacterized. NCBI's taxonomy places the organism in Eukaryota, Metazoa, Chordata, Mammalia, Primates, Hylobatidae. The record is from RefSeq and is a predicted model, not a curated record.